Molecule: ribosomal RNA, 253 nt
Filed under: uncultured bacterium
Lineage: Bacteria
Description: partial 16S ribosomal RNA
Rfam family: Bacterial small subunit ribosomal RNA
Source: RNAcentral
UACGAAGGGGGCUAGCGUUGUUCGGAUUUACUGGGCGUAAAGCGCACGUAGGCGGAUCGUUAAGUCGGGGGUGAAAUCCUGGAGCUCAACUCCAGAACUGCCUUUGAUACUGAGGAUCUUGAGCUCGGGAGAGGUGAGUGGAACUGCGAGUGUAGAGGUGAAAUUCGUAGAUAUUCGCAAGAACACCAGUGACGAAGGCGGCUCACUGGCCCGAUACUGACGCUGAGGCACGAAAGCGUGGGGAGCAAACAGG